UUUAAUUUUGAACGAGUGGCGGACGGGUGAGUAACACGUGGGUAACCUGCCCUUAAGUGGGGGAUAACAUUUGGAAACAGAUGCUAAUACCGCAUAAAUCCAAGAACCGCAUGGUUCUUGGCUGAAAGAUGGCGUAAGCUAUCGCUUUUGGAUGGACCCGCGGCGUAUUAGCUAGUUGGUGAGGUAACGGCUCACCAAGGCAAUGAUACGUAGCCGAACUGAGAGGUUGAUCGGCCACAUUGGGACUGAGACACGGCCCAAACUCCUACGGGAGGCAGCAGUAGGGAAUCUUCCACAAUGGACGCAAGUCUGAUGGAGCAACGCCGCGUGAGUGAAGAAGGCUUUCGGGUCGUAAAACUCUGUUGUUGGAGAAGAAUGGUCGGCAGAGUAACUGUUGUCGGCGUGACGGUAUCCAACCAGAAAGCCACGGCUAACUACGUGCCAGCAGCCGCGGUAAUACGUAGGUGGCAAGCGUUAUCCGGAUUUAUUGGGCGUAAAGCGAGCGCAGGCGGUUUUUUAAGUCUGAUGUGAAAGCCCUCGGCUUAACCGAG
Molecule: ribosomal RNA, 551 nt
Filed under: Lacticaseibacillus rhamnosus
Lineage: Bacteria; Bacillati; Bacillota; Bacilli; Lactobacillales; Lactobacillaceae
Description: bacterial SSU rRNA
Rfam family: Bacterial small subunit ribosomal RNA
Source: RNAcentral